GAUGAACGCUGGCGGCGUGCCUAAUACAUGCAAGUAGAACGCUUAAGGAGGAGCUUGCUCUUCUGGAUGAGUUGCGAACGGGUGAGUAACGCGUAGGUAACCUGCCUGGUAGCGGGGGAUAACUAUUGGAAACGAUAGCUAAUACCGCAUGACAACAGUUAUUGCAUGAUAACUGUUGAAAAGGGGCAACUGCUCCACUACCAGAUGGACCUGCGUUGUAUUAGCUAGUUGGUGAGGUAACGGCUCACCAAGGCGACGAUACAUAGCCGACCUGAGAGGGUGAGCGGCCCCACUGGGACCGAGACACGGCCCAGACUCCUACGGGAGGCAGCAGUAGGGAAUCUUCGGAAAUGGACGGAAGUCUGAACGAGCAACGCCGCGGGAGGGAAGAAGGGUCUCGGAUCGGAAAGCUCUGUUGUAAGAGAAGAAAGAGUGUGAGAGUGGAAAGUUCACACUGUGACGGUAGCUUAACAGAAAGGGACGGCUAACUACGUG
RNAcentral lists this ribosomal RNA (495 nucleotides) under uncultured bacterium. RNAcentral describes it as "partial 16S ribosomal RNA". It matches the Rfam family "Bacterial small subunit ribosomal RNA", at positions 28 to 507 of the family's 1533-position model. The record is from RNAcentral.